This 816-nucleotide long non-coding RNA is filed under the name Marmota monax (woodchuck). The record is from RNAcentral. Lineage: Eukaryota; Metazoa; Chordata; Mammalia; Rodentia; Sciuridae.
CUAAAACAAGCAUAUGGAGCACACCUGUGAGACCAUAUAAAAGAAUGAAAAGUCAGUAGAGCAAGAACUAGCUUGAGAUUUAAGUAGAAGUAAAUGUGUACUACUGUUUGAAAAGGGGCAGUUACUGACAACCUUGAAUACUCUCGUACUGAUAUUAAAGGCAGUGAACUCCUGUACUAAAGUUCUGGAAAGACCAACAGUUACUCAUUCCCUUUCAUAAGCUCACCAGUACAGUCACUGACAUAAAAAGUAAAGAUUGUUAGCAAUGCCUAACCACUUAAUUGCCUAAGUAACCGUCGUCUCUUUACAGGCCUCAUUGUCUUGAGCACGGAGGAAGUGGCAAACCAGUAGGAUCGUAAUCUAUUAUCUGUUACCACUGAGAGCACUGAUGUAUUGUGACACCAACAGAGAGAAAGCCAGAGAGGCAGACACAGGGGAACUCAGCUGAUAAAGGCUGUGCUAGACACUACCAUCAUCUUCCUUCCAAAUGGCUCACUUAUAACCAUGGGUACCUGUCAGGGCUGGGAGGUGAGAAGGGGGAUGGAAAGAGGAAAAGAAAAAGACUUGGUAGAAGAGCUUAAGGAAGGUGGGCUACUGGAGUCUUAGACCAUUCGAUUGUUCUAAGUAGUCUCCUUGUCCUGGUCCGUGUGACUGAAUCAAUUAAACACACACACACACAACACACAUGCACACGCACACGCACACACACUCAUACACAUACUCAUGAGUUACUUAUCCCAAAGAUUAUCAACUGAAGUUCCUCUGGGAGGUGGCAGAACACAUGACCAGCCCACAUGCUAGACCCCUUGUGGUGCC